Molecule: ribosomal RNA, 231 nt
Filed under: uncultured bacterium
Lineage: Bacteria
Description: partial 16S ribosomal RNA
Rfam family: Bacterial small subunit ribosomal RNA
Source: RNAcentral
GAUCAUGGCUCAGAUUGAACGCUGGCGGCAGGCCUAACACAUGCAAGUCGAGCGGUAGCACAGAGAGCUUGCUCUCGGGUGACGAGCGGCGGACGGGUGAGUAAUGUCUGGGAAACUGCCUGAUGGAGGGGGAUAACUACUGGAAACGGUAGCUAAUACCGCAUAACGUCGCAAGACCAAAGUGGGGGGACCUUCGGCCGUCCAUGCCACUCAGAUGUGCCCACGAUGGAG